GAUGAACGCUGGCGGCGUGCUUAACACAUGCAAGUCGAACGGAAAGGCCCAAGCUUGCUUGGGUCCUCGAGUGGCGAACGGGUGAGUAACACGUGGGUGAUCUGCCCUGCACUUCGGGAUAAGCCUGGGAAACUGGGUCUAAUACCGGAUAGGACCACUUCUUGGAUGUUGUGGUGGAAAGUUUUUUCGUUGUGGGAUGAGCUCGCGGCCUAUCAGCUUGUUGGUGGGGUAAUGGCCUACCCAGGCGUCGACGGGUAGCCGGCCUGAGAGGGUGUACGGCCACAUUGGGACUGAGAGACGGCCCAGACUCCUACGGGAGGCAGCAGUGGGGAAGAUUGCACAAUGGGCGCAAGCCUGAUGCAGCGACGCCGCGGGGGGGAGGACGGCCUUCGGGUUGUAAACUCCGUUCGCUAGGGACGAAGCGUUUUGUGACGGUACCUGGAGAAGAAGCACCGGCUAACUACGUG
RNAcentral lists this ribosomal RNA (467 nucleotides) under uncultured bacterium. RNAcentral describes it as "partial 16S ribosomal RNA". It matches the Rfam family "Bacterial small subunit ribosomal RNA", at positions 28 to 507 of the family's 1533-position model. The record is from RNAcentral.